Molecule: non-coding RNA, 122 nt
Organism: Triticum aestivum (bread wheat)
Lineage: Eukaryota; Viridiplantae; Streptophyta; Magnoliopsida; Poales; Poaceae
Source: Rfam
CCACUACUCCAUCCGUUUUGAAUUACUUGUCUUAGAUUUAUCUAGAUACGGAUGUAUCUAGCACUAAAUUACUUGUCUUAGACAAAUUCAAGACAAGUAAUUCGAAACGGAGGGAGUACUAG